GUUCAGGCCAGCCCUGGAGGUAUACAUCUGUAAUCCCAGUGCCUGCAGCAGGAGGAUUGCAAGUUCAAAGCCAGUGUCAACAAUUUAGCGAUUUAGCAAGGCCCUAAAGCAACUUAGACGCUAUCUUUAAAUAAAAUAUAAAAAAGGGCUGGUGAAUGGCUCAGUUGCCCUGGGUUCAAUCCGCAGUCAAAAAAAAAAAGUGUACAUAUCAGGGGUGUAAACGACACACUGUCUUGAACUUUAUGUUGUUGUGUAACCAAUCACCAGAAUGCUUUUUAUCUUGUAAAACUGAAACUCCUCACAUAUUUAACAAUGCCAUAUUUUCUCAUCCCCCAACUUCUGGCAACCAUUUUAUUUUGUCCCUAUGAAUUUGAUUAUUCUAGGUACCUCAUAGAAGUGGAAUCAUAUAGUAUUAUUCCUUUUGUGAUUGCCUUAGUUCAUUUAACAUCAUGCAUAGAAUUCAUGCAUGGUGUAUGCCUAUCAAAAUUUCCUUCCUUUUUAAAGUAAUAUUCCAUUUUGUGUAUAUAUCACUUUGGACUUCCAUCUUUUGAC
This 552-nucleotide long non-coding RNA is filed under the name Marmota monax (woodchuck). The record is from RNAcentral. Lineage: Eukaryota; Metazoa; Chordata; Mammalia; Rodentia; Sciuridae.